GCAAACUUGGUCAUUUAGAGGAAGUAAAAGUCGUAACAAGGUUUCCGUAGGUGAACCUGCGGAAGGAUCAUUACAGUGCCACCGGCUGGAGCUGCUGUAUCUCUCAGAGAACGCUGGCGCUCGCCACAUGGCCCCACUCAUGCUUAUUUUUUUCCUCUGUUGCCUUGGCAGGUCCGUCAGUUGGGUUGAAUGAAUUUUGAUUUGUUCAAUGCUUUUUGGCAACCAGCACUCUGCAUCACAGGGGGCUCGGGUUUGUAUCUGCCGCAGGACCCAUUUUUGAAAUUUGCUGUGAAGCGAAAGCAAGGCUAGUCAGUCUUAUAUUCUUUAAGCGAUAAAAUACUGCUUAAAAACUUUCAACAACGGAUCUCUUGGUUCUGGCAUCGAUGAAGAACGCAGC
RNAcentral lists this unclassified non-coding RNA (397 nucleotides) under uncultured fungus. Its description in RNAcentral is "partial contains small subunit ribosomal RNA, internal transcribed spacer 1, and 5.8S ribosomal RNA". The stretch from base 1 to 73 matches the Rfam family "Eukaryotic small subunit ribosomal RNA", at positions 1759 to 1831 of the family's 1831-position model. The record is from RNAcentral. Lineage: Eukaryota; Fungi.